This 368-nucleotide ribosomal RNA is filed under the name uncultured organism. RNAcentral's name for it is "bacterial SSU rRNA". It matches the Rfam family "Bacterial small subunit ribosomal RNA", at positions 526 to 896 of the family's 1533-position model. The record is from RNAcentral.
CGGAGGGUGCAAGCGUUAUCCGGAUUCACUGGGUUUAAAGGGAGCGUAGGUGGGUUGGUAAGUCAGUGGUGAAAUCCCCGAGCUUAACUUGGGAACUGCCAUUGAUACUAUCAGUCUUGAAUACCGUGGAGGUCAGCGGAAUAUGUCAUGUAGCGGUGAAAUGCUUAGAUAUGACAUAGAACACCAAUUGCGAAGGCAGCUGGCUACACGAAUAUUGACACUGAGGCUCGAAAGCGUGGGGAUCAAACAGGAUUAGAUACCCUGGUAGUCCACGCCCUAAACUAUGGAUACUCGACAUACGCGAUACACUGUGUGUGUCUGAGCGAAAGCAUUAAGUAUCCCACCUGGGAAGUACGAUCGCAAGAUUG